This 37-nucleotide non-coding RNA is filed under the name unclassified sequences. Its description in RNAcentral is "abiF RNA". It matches the Rfam family "abiF RNA". The record is from Rfam by way of RNAcentral.
CCCGCCAAGCCUCUCAUUGAAGCUCAAAUGUGCGGGU